UACAGAGGGGGCAAGCGUUAUUCGGAAUUAUUGGGCGUAAAGGGCUUGUAGGCGGUUUUUCAAGUGACGGGUGAAAUCCCUCGGCUUAACCGAGGAACUGCCUGUCAGACUGGAAGGCUUGAGACCGGGAGAGGUGAGUGGAAUUCCCAGUGUAGCGGUGAAAUGCGUAGAUAUUGGGAGGAACACCAGUGGCGACGGCGGCUCACUGGACCGGAACUGACGCUGAGGCGCGAAAGCGUGGGGAGCAAACAGG
RNAcentral lists this ribosomal RNA (253 nucleotides) under uncultured bacterium. Its description in RNAcentral is "partial 16S ribosomal RNA". It matches the Rfam family "Bacterial small subunit ribosomal RNA", at positions 524 to 776 of the family's 1533-position model. The record is from RNAcentral.